RNAcentral lists this ribosomal RNA (447 nucleotides) under uncultured Eubacteriales bacterium. Its description in RNAcentral is "bacterial SSU rRNA". It matches the Rfam family "Bacterial small subunit ribosomal RNA", at positions 933 to 1382 of the family's 1533-position model. The record is from RNAcentral. Lineage: Bacteria; Bacillati; Bacillota; Clostridia; Eubacteriales.
UGGAGCAUGUGGUUAAUUCGAAGCAACGCGAAGAACCUUACCAGGUCUUGACAUCCCUGACAACCCGAGAGAUCGGCGUUCCCCUUCGGGGGACAGGGUGACAGGUGGUGCAUGGGUUGUCGUCAGCUCGUGUCGUGAGAUGUUGGGUUAAGUCCCGCAACGAGCGCAACCCUCGACCUUAGUUGCCAGCAUUCAGUUGGGCACUCUAAGGUGACUGCCGGCUAAAAGUCGGAGGAAGGUGGGAUGACGUCAAAUCAUCAUGCCCCUUAUGUUCUGGGCUACACACGUGCUACAAUGGCCGGUACAGACGGAGGCGAAGCCGCGAGGCGGAGCAAAUCCGAAAAAGCCGGUCUCAGUUCGGAUUGCAGGCUGCAAUUCGCCUGCAUGAAGUCGGAAUCGCUAGUAAUCGCAGGUCAGCAUACUGCGGUGAAUACGUUCCCGGGCCUU